Molecule: non-coding RNA, 28 nt
Filed under: Homo sapiens (human)
Lineage: Eukaryota; Metazoa; Chordata; Mammalia; Primates; Hominidae
Source: RNAcentral
UCAGCCUUGUCAUCUACAAAAAGAAGCA